UCGCGAUUUUCGUCUCUUUUUCGCCAAGUGAUUUACAUAUUUGAUAUUGUAGUGUGUAAUAUAGUUGAAAAGUUAUUGAUAUUUGUUUCAUGGUGUCCCGUAGAAUGCGAGAAAAUAUGGAUUAUUCGAUAUUCUGAGGAUUUGGGACCACCAGGAAAGAAGAAUUAUCUAGAAUAGUUCUAGAUAAGUUAGAUAUAGCUAAACAUGAGAUCUCAAAAGAUUCCCGUCCCUUAAAUACUUGCACGCAGCGUGCCGUAAUACAUGUUUGAGUGUGGUGUGUGUGUAUGUGUGCGGAGUGUGUGUAGGUGUCUAGAGGAGAGAAAAUUAUGAGCCAAUAAAGGUUUCACGAGGUCGACCGAGAGAAGAUAGAGCACGCUUUGCGCCGGUACCGUCGGACCGUCGGAACCGUCGACACAAUCUACGACUUCUUGCUACUAUAACGACGCGAACGUGGAAUAACCAUGGAAUAACCAUGGAAUAACCGUGGAAUAACCGUGUAUUUCUCUUUUUCCUAAAUAUUCGAUUCCAACCGAAGUAGUCCGUGAGUAUCGAUCACCACGUUUGAAAAUAAAAAUAAUCAAACCAACUGUCUCGCCCGAUGAUUAUUGCGAUAAACUACAAGUAGUCCUUUGAGUAGAAAUAGUCCUUUUGGUAGUCCAAUUAAGUGAUCAUUAAUUAUUAUUACAUGGAAGAUCGUCGAGUUAUUUACACGUGUGCCGAUGUCCUCGAUGUUGUAGUACUCUUUCCGUUCACGUGACCACCAGGUUCAGGGAAAAGAGGGUCAAACGAGUAAGCUCACCCUCAUUAAGCACCGUAUAUCAGGACAAAGUCGCGUGGCAAUGACGUGUAAUUAUUACGCGUCAGGUAUUACUUGCAUAUUACCAACAUAAAAUAACGUUCGGUGAACCUAUUAAAUACAGCAGAAAUGUACGUAAGGACGAGGAGAGAAAAAGAUUUCUUCGACACUGGCCGACGAAGGUGAAGUCGACAUCGAAGUCGACAUCGAAAAAUGAAAAGCAAGAUAUUAAAACGAAAGAAAGAAAGAAAGAAAGAAAGAAAGAAAGAAAAAAAGCCAGCGACUUUCGGAAGUUCAUGAAAGUUCGUUUACACAACUCUUUCCCGCGCUGCAAUGCAUUAUGCUCUCGAGACGAGCUGACCUGAAAUCUUCGACCUCCGCUGCUCUUCAGGAGGGAAGAGCGACGCAACUCGUCAUUCCGGUACACCUUCUACAAGUUUGUCACGCAUACAGGGUGCUCCGAAAGUAUAGGACCAACGUUACGUUAAAUCAUUCAUCAAUCUAUCAAACUUAUCGCCGUUCGUAUCCAGUAAUAACAACUUGUCUUAAAUUGGCACCGAGGAAAUUUCAUAAAAUUAUUUCAUAAUAAAUGCAGCAUCUAUUUAAAUAUAAGUAACACUUGAUUAAUGUCAAUUUCAAGGGUAUCAUCUGUAUUAGAAAUAUAUUGGUUACUCUCUAUCAGCAUUAUAAUUGAUAUUUGAAAUAUUUGUAAUUUUUAAAAUCCAAAAGAACUUAGAACUCUGGAAUGAAAAUGAGAAGGACGCUUACUUGUGGCUACUCCUUUAAAUUCUUUCGGUAGAAGGAAAUAUCUAUUUUACUUACGAUGUCGUUUUCUAUACCCGGUACGCAACUCGUCCGACUACUUCGUCCGAUGGAGUGCUGCAUCCGUGCGCACAACCCUUGAGUGCACUUGAGACCAAGUCGAGAGUCCCUCUCUACAUGGGUGGUCCAUUCUUCUUACGCAUGCAUUAUAUAAGUUCAGUAAAGUUCACACCAUAGAUAACUGAACGAGAAACUGAUCGUUUACCACUAUCGGAAGAGACGUGUUCUUUCACAAAUACUUACAUAUUUAUUUAUUUAUCUAAUUACUAUUAACAAUAAAUCCAUUUUUUUUGUAGAUAUACAUCAUACAGAAAUAAACUAAGAUUUAAUCGACAUAGUCGAUGAAUGGAUCAUCAUCAUCAUCAUCAUCAUUGAAUUAAGAAUAUGUAAAGAAUAUACUGAUGGAAAUAUAGGGACGACAAAAGGGCCAAAACGUUUGGCGAAUUUUGCCUGCUGGUUGUAGAUAAGAAUAGGCCAUAUAUCGUCCAUCCAACAUCCCCACUUAUAUCACCAUCACUUUCCAAACUGUUUAAAGAUGUCCCAUGCAAAAUACGUGAACGUUGUUGCUUUAGAUGUUACACACAUUUUUUUUGUUCAUCAUUAUUAAACAUUUCUU
This 2234-nucleotide long non-coding RNA is filed under the name Polistes dominula (European paper wasp). Its description in RNAcentral is "uncharacterized LOC107070213, transcript variant X2". The record is from RNAcentral. Lineage: Eukaryota; Metazoa; Arthropoda; Insecta; Hymenoptera; Vespidae.